CAAUUCCAGUAUAACUCUAUGUAUAUUAACAUAGAUCAUCUUUUUGAAGGAACAACACUAUAUAUAUCUUUAUACAAAAACAACACUAUAUCUAAGGAUGUCAAAAUGGAUAACCCAACUCAACUUAACUCAUAAUCAAAUGAGUUUAGGGUUAAAUGAGUUAUGGGUUGACCCAACUCAUUUUGUUAAAUGGGUUGGGUCAACCCAUAACUUAUUUAAUUUGAUGAGUUGAGUUGUUAAAUGGGUUAACCUAUUUAAAU
Molecule: small RNA, 260 nt
Filed under: Arabidopsis thaliana (thale cress)
Lineage: Eukaryota; Viridiplantae; Streptophyta; Magnoliopsida; Brassicales; Brassicaceae
Description: ATSL214880
Source: RNAcentral